This 505-nucleotide ribosomal RNA is filed under the name uncultured bacterium. Its description in RNAcentral is "partial 16S ribosomal RNA". It matches the Rfam family "Bacterial small subunit ribosomal RNA", at positions 28 to 507 of the family's 1533-position model. The record is from RNAcentral.
GACGAACGCUGGCGGCGUGCCUAAUACAUGCAAGUAGAACGCACAGUUUAUACCGUAGCUUGCUACACCAUAAACUGUGAGUUGCGAACGGGUGAGUAACGCGUAGGUAACCUGCCUGGUAGCGGGGGAUAACUAUUGGAAACGAUAGCUAAUACCGCAUAAUAUUGAUUAUUGCAUGAUAAUUGAUUGAAAGAUGCUAUUGCAUCACUACCAGAUGGACCUGCGUUGUAUUAGCUAGUAGGUGAGGUAACGGCUCACCUAGGCGACGAUACAUAGCCGACCUGAGAGGGUGAUCGGCCACACUGGGACUGAGACACGGCCCAGACUCCUACGGGAGGCAGCAGUAGGGAAUCUUCGGCAAUGGACGAAAGUCUGACCGAGCAACGCCGCGUGAGUGAAGAAGGUUUUCGGAUCGUAAAGCUCUGUUGUAAGAGAAGAACGGGUGUGAAAGUGGAAAGUUCACACUGUGACGGUAUCUUACCAGAAAGGGACGGCUAACUACGUG